RNAcentral lists this ribosomal RNA (465 nucleotides) under uncultured bacterium. RNAcentral's name for it is "partial 16S ribosomal RNA". It matches the Rfam family "Bacterial small subunit ribosomal RNA", at positions 338 to 795 of the family's 1533-position model. The record is from RNAcentral.
CCUACGGGGGGCAGCAGUGGGGAAUAUUGCGCAAUGGGCGAAAGCCUGACGCAGCGACGCCGCGUGAGGGAUGAAGGUCCUCGGAUCGUAAACCUCUGUCAGCAGGGAAGAACGGUCACUGUGCUAAUCAGCAGUGAAUUGACGGUACCUGCAAAGGAAGCACCGGCUAACUCCGUGCCAGCAGCCGCGGUAAUACGGAGGGUGCGAGCGUUAAUCGGAAUUACUGGGCGUAAAGCGCUCGUAGGCGGUAUGUCAAGGCAAGGGGGAAAUCCCCGCGCUCAACGUGGGAACUGCCUUUGAAACUGGCAAACUGGAGUGUGUGAGAGGAUAGUGGAAUGCCAGGUGUAGGAGUGAAAUCCGUAGAUAUCUGGCGGAACAUCAGUGGCGAAGGCGACUAUCUGGCACAUAACUGACGCUGAGGAGCGAAAGCGUGGGUAGCAAACAGGAUUAGAUACCCCUGUAGUC